GUUGUAUGGUUAAGUGACUAAGUGUACACGGUGGAUGCCUUGGCAGUCAGAGGCGAUGAAGGACGUAUUAACUUGCGAUAAGCCCAGAUUAGGUAGUAAAAACCAUUUGAGUCUGGGAUUUCCGAAUGGGGAAACCCACUAGCAUAAGCUAGUAUCGCUGCGUGAAUACAUAGCGCAGCGAGGCGAACCGGGGGAACUGAAACAUCUAAGUACCCCGAGGAAAAGAAAUCAACCGAGAUUCCGAAAGUAGCGGCGAGCGAAAUUGGACUAGCCCUUAAGCUUUUUAUGCGUCAGGUGAAACUUCUGGAAAGUUGUGCGAUACAGGGUGAUAGCCCCGUAACCGGCAACGCAUAUAAAGUGAAAUCGAGUAGGGCGGGACACGUGAUAUCCUGUCUGAAUAUGGGGGGACCAUCCUCCAAGGCUAAAUACUACUGACUGACCGAUAGUGAACCAGUACCGUGAGGGAAAGGCGAAAAGAACCCCUGUGAGGGGAGUGAAAUAGAACCUGAAACCGUGUACGUACAAGCAGUAGGAGCACCUUCGUGGUGUGACUGCGUACCUUUUGUAUAAUGGGUCAGCGACUUAUAUUCAGUGGCAAGGUUAACCAUCUAGGGGAGCCGUAGGGAAACCGAGUCUUAACUGGGCGUUCAGUCUCUGGAUAUAGACCCGAAACCAGGUGAUCUAGCCAUGGGCAGGUUGAAGGUUGAGUAACAUCAACUGGAGGACCGAACCGACUAAUGUUGAAAAAUUAGCGGAUGACUUGUGGCUAGGGGUGAAAGGCCAAUCAAACCUGGAGAUAGCUGGUUCUCCCCGAAAGCUAUUUAGGUAGCGCCUCGGACGAAUACUACUGGGGGUAGAGCACUGUUAAGGCUAGGGGGUCAUCCCGACUUACCAACCCUUUGCAAACUCCGAAUACCAGUAAGUACUAUCCGGGAGACACACGGCGGGUGCUAACGUCCGUCGUGGAGAGGGAAACAACCCAGACCGCCAGCUAAGGUCCCAAAUUACUACUAAGUGGGAAACGAUGUGGGAAGGCUCAGACAGCCAGGAUGUUGGCUUAGAAGCAGCCAUCAUUUAAAGAAAGCGUAAUAGCUCACUGGUCGAGUCGGCCUGCGCGGAAGAUGUAACGGGGCUAAGUAGUAAACCGAAGCUGCGGCAAUGCACUUUAGUGCAUUGGGUAGGGGAGCGUUCUGUAAGCGGUUGAAGGUGUGUGGUAACGCAUGCUGGACGUAUCAGAAGUGCGAAUGCUGACAUGAGUAACGAUAAAGGGGGUGAAAAACCUCCUCGCCGGAAGACCAAGGGUUCCUGUCCAACGUUAAUCGGGGCAGGGUAAGUCGACCCCUAAGGCGAGGCCGAAAGGCGUAGUCGAUGGGAAACGGGUUAAUAUUCCCGUACUUCUUACAAUUGCGAUGGGGGACGGAGAAGGCUAGGUGGGCCUGGCGACGGUUGUCCAGGUUCAAGUGCGUAGGCUUAAGAGUUAGGUAAAUCCGGCUCUUUUUAAGGCUGAGACACGACGUCGAGCUACUACGGUAGUGAAGUCAUUGAUGCCAUGCUUCCAGGAAAAGCCUCUAAGCUUCAGAUUGUAAGGAAUCGUACCCCAAACCGACACAGGUGGUCGGGUAGAGAAUACCAAGGCGCUUGAGAGAACUCGGGUGAAGGAACUAGGCAAAAUGGUACCGUAACUUCGGGAGAAGGUACGCUCUCGACGGUGAAGUCCCUUGCGGAUGGAGCUAUUGAGAGUCGCAGAUACCAGGUGGCUGCAACUGUUUAUUAAAAACACAGCACUGUGCAAAAUCGUAAGAUGACGUAUACGGUGUGACGCCUGCCCGGUGCCGGAAGGUUAAUUGAUGGGGUUAGACUUCGGUCGAAGCUCUUGAUCGAAGCCCCGGUAAACGGCGGCCGUAACUAUAACGGUCCUAAGGUAGCGAAAUUCCUUGUCGGGUAAGUUCCGACCUGCACGAAUGGCGUAAUGAUGGCCACGCUGUCUCCACCCGAGACUCAGUGAAAUUGAAAUCGCUGUGAAGAUGCAGUGUACCCGCGGCUAGACGGAAAGACCCCGUGAACCUUUACUACAGCUUGGCACUGAACAUUGACCCUACAUGUGUAGGAUAGGUGGGAGGCUUUGAAGCACAGUCGCUAGAUUGUGUGGAGCCGUCCUUGAAAUACCACCCUUGUAGUGUUGAUGUUCUAACGUUGACCCCUAAUCGGGGUUGCGGACAGUGCCUGGUGGGUAGUUUGACUGGGGCGGUCUCCUCCCAAAGCGUAACGGAGGAGCACGAAGGUGGGCUAAUCACGGUUGGACAUCGUGAGGUUAGUGCAAUGGCAUAAGCCCGCUUGACUGCGAGAAUGACGGUUCGAGCAGGUGCGAAAGCAGGUCAUAGUGAUCCGGUGGUUCUGAAUGGAAGGGCCAUCGCUCAACGGAUAAAAGGUACUCCGGGGAUAACAGGCUGAUACCGCCCAAGAGUUCAUAUCGACGGCGGUGUUUGGCACCUCGAUGUCGGCUCAUCACAUCCUGGGGCUGAAGUCGGUCCCAAGGGUAUGGCUGUUCGCCAUUUAAAGUGGUACGCGAGCUGGGUUUAGAACGUCGUGAGACAGUUCGGUCCCUAUCUGCCGUGGGCGUUGGAAGAUUGAAGGGGGCUGCUCCUAGUACGAGAGGACCGGAGUGGACGAACCUCUGGUGUUCGGGUUGUGUCGCCAGACGCAUUGCCCGGUAGCUAAGUUCGGAAUCGAUAACCGCUGAAAGCAUCUAAGCGGGAAGCGAGCCCUGAGAUGAGUCUUCCCUGAUACUUUAAGUAUCCUAAAGGGUUGUUCGAGACUAGAACGUUGAUAGGCAGGGUGUGUAAGCGUUGUGAGGCGUUGAGCUAACCUGUACUAAUUGCCCGUGAGGCUUAACCAUACAACACCCAAGGGGUUU
This 2914-nucleotide ribosomal RNA is filed under the name Vibrio harveyi. Its description in RNAcentral is "23S ribosomal RNA". It matches the Rfam family "Bacterial large subunit ribosomal RNA". The record is from RNAcentral. Lineage: Bacteria; Pseudomonadati; Pseudomonadota; Gammaproteobacteria; Vibrionales; Vibrionaceae.